Molecule: ribosomal RNA, 497 nt
Filed under: uncultured bacterium
Lineage: Bacteria
Description: partial 16S ribosomal RNA
Rfam family: Bacterial small subunit ribosomal RNA
Source: RNAcentral
GAUGAACGCUGGCGGCGUGCCUAAUACAUGCAAGUCGAGCGAACGGACGAGAAGCUUGCUUCUCUGAUGUUAGCGGCGGACGGGUGAGUAACACGUGGAUAACCUACCUAUAAGACUGGGAUAACUUCGGGAAACCGGAGCUAAUACCGGAUAAUAUUUUGAACCGCAUGGUUCAAAAGUGAAAGACGGUCUUGCUGUCACUUAUAGAUGGAUCCGCGCUGCAUUAGCUAGUUGGUAAGGUAACGGCUUACCAAGGCAACGAUGCAUAGCCGACCUGAGAGGGUGAUCGGCCACACUGGAACUGAGACACGGUCCAGACUCCUACGGGCGGCAGCAGUAGGGAAUCUUCCGCAAUGGGCGAAAGCCUGACGGAGCAACGCCGCGUGAGUGAUGAAGGUCUUCGGAUCGUAAAACUCUGUUAUUAGGGAAGAACAUAUGUGUAAGUAACUGUGCACAUCUUGACGGUACCUAAUCAGAAAGCCACGGCUAACUACGUG